RNAcentral lists this long non-coding RNA (204 nucleotides) under Elaeis guineensis (African oil palm). RNAcentral's name for it is "long non-coding RNA (EGUI_LNC056266)". The record is from RNAcentral. Lineage: Eukaryota; Viridiplantae; Streptophyta; Magnoliopsida; Arecales; Arecaceae.
UAGCUAUGUAUUUGCAGCUAGUUCUUGAUCUUUUGUUCUUGCUAAACCCUUUAGGGAUCACUAGUAUGAUCUCUAUCCUCUAUAAGCUGCUUCCUCAUAGGAUUUUGCCAUCAAACUAUACCGUUAAUAGUAGUCAUCCCCCUUAUAUCAUGCCUCCAAAAUGCUGUAUCUGGAUUAUAUUCACAUGAUAAUUCAAUGUUGGAA